Molecule: ribosomal RNA, 891 nt
Filed under: Enterococcus casseliflavus ATCC 49996
Lineage: Bacteria; Bacillati; Bacillota; Bacilli; Lactobacillales; Enterococcaceae
Description: bacterial SSU rRNA
Rfam family: Bacterial small subunit ribosomal RNA
Source: RNAcentral
AGACUUGAGUGCAGAAGAGGAGAGUGGAAUUCCAUGUGUAGCGGUGAAAUGCGUAGAUAUAUGGAGGAACACCAGUGGCGAAGGCGGCUCUCUGGUCUGUAACUGACGCUGAGGCUCGAAAGCGGGGGGAGCGAACAGGAUUAGAUACCCUGGUAGUCCACGCCGUAAACGAUGAGUGCUAAGUGUUGGAGGGUUUCCGCCCUUCAGUGCUGCAGCAAACGCAUUAAGCACUCCGCCUGGGGAGUACGACCGCAAGGUUGAAACUCAAAGGAAUUGACGGGGGCCCGCACAAGCGGUGGAGCAUGUGGUUUAAUUCGAAGCAACGCGAAGAACCUUACCAGGUCUUGACAUCCUUUGACCACUCUAGAGAUAGAGCUUCCCCUUCGGGGGCAAAGUGACAGGUGGUGCAUGGUUGUCGUCAGCUCGUGUCGUGAGAUGUUGGGUUAAGUCCCGCAACGAGCGCAACCCUUAUUGUUAGUUGCCAUCAUUUAGUUGGGCACUCUAGCGAGACUGCCGGUGACAAACCGGAGGAAGGUGGGGAUGACGUCAAAUCAUCAUGCCCCUUAUGACCUGGGCUACACACGUGCUACAAUGGGAAGUACAACGAGUUGCGAAGUCGCGAGGCUAAGCUAAUCUCUUAAAGCUUCUCUCAGUUCGGAUUGUAGGCUGCAACUCGCCUACAUGAAGCCGGAAUCGCUAGUAAUCGCGGAUCAGCACGCCGCGGUGAAUACGUUCCCGGGCCUUGUACACACCGCCCGUCACACCACGAGAGUUUGUAACACCCGAAGUCGGUGAGGUAACCUUUUUGGAGCCAGCCGCCUAAGGUGGGAUAGAUGAUUGGGGUGAAGUCGUAACAAGGUAGCCGUAUCGGAAGGUGCGGCUGGAUCACCU